RNAcentral lists this ribosomal RNA (496 nucleotides) under uncultured bacterium. RNAcentral's name for it is "partial 16S ribosomal RNA". It matches the Rfam family "Bacterial small subunit ribosomal RNA", at positions 28 to 506 of the family's 1533-position model. The record is from RNAcentral.
GAUGAACGCUGGCGGCGUGCCUAAUACAUGCAAGUCGAGCGAACAGACGAGGAGCUUGCUCCUCUGACGUUAGCGGCGGACGGGUGAGUAACACGUGGAUAACCUACCUAUAAGACUGGGAUAACUUCGGGAAACCGGAGCUAAUACCGGAUAAUAUAUUGAACCGCAUGGUUCAAUAGUGAAAGACGGUUUUGCUGUCACUUAUAGAUGGAUCCGCGCCGCAUUAGCUAGUUGGUAAGGUAACGGCUUACCAAGGCAACGAUGCGUGGCCGACCUGAGAGGGUGCUCGGCCACACUGGACCUGAGACACGGUCCAGACUCCUACGGGAGGCAGCAGUAGGGAAUCUUCCGCAAUGGGCGAAAGCCUGACGGAGCAACGCGGCGUGAGUGAUGAAGGUCUUCGGAUCGUAAAACUCUGUUAUUAGGGAAGAACAAAUGUGUAAGUAACGAUGCACGUCUUGACGGUACCUAAUCAGAAAGCCACGGCUAACUACGU